RNAcentral lists this ribosomal RNA (341 nucleotides) under Osteomugil engeli (kanda). RNAcentral describes it as "Moolgarda engeli partial 12S ribosomal RNA". It matches the Rfam family "Bacterial small subunit ribosomal RNA", at positions 1039 to 1533 of the family's 1533-position model. The record is from RNAcentral. Lineage: Eukaryota; Metazoa; Chordata; Actinopteri; Mugiliformes; Mugilidae.
CUAUAUACCGCCGUCGUCAGCCUACCCUGUGAGGGAAUAAUAGUAAGCAAGAUUAGCAUGGCCCAAAACGUCAGGUCGAGGUGUAGCGUAUGAGAGGGCUAGAAAUGGGCUACAUUCCCUUUUACAGGGAACUACGAACUAUGAAUUGAAAAAUUCGUCAUGAAGGAGGAUUUAGCAGUAAAUGAAAAACAGAGAGUUUCAUUGAAACCGGCUCUAAAGCACGCACACACCGCCCGUCACUCUCCCCUAAAAGAACUACCAAAUAGUUAAUUACCCUAAUAAAACACAGGGGAGGCAAGUCGUAACAUGGUAAGUGUACCGGAAGGUGCCCUUGGUUAGAC